Molecule: ribosomal RNA, 408 nt
Filed under: uncultured bacterium
Lineage: Bacteria
Description: partial 16S ribosomal RNA
Rfam family: Bacterial small subunit ribosomal RNA
Source: RNAcentral
GACGAACGCUGGCGGCGUGCUUAACACAUGCAAGUCGAACGAAGUGGCGAACGGGUGAGUAACGCGUAAUCAACCUGCCCUUCAGCGGGGGACAACAGUUGGAAACGACUGCUCAUACCGCAUAAGGAAGGAGGGGAUUGCGUUUGAUUAGCUAGUGGGAGGGGACACGGCCGACCAAGGCGAUGAUCAGUAGCCGGUCUGGGGGGGUGAACGACCACAUUGGGACUGAGACACGGCCCAGACUCCUACGGGAGGCAGCAGUGGGGAAUCUUCCGAAAUGGACGAAAGUCUGACGGAGCAACGCCGCGUGAGUGAUGACGGCCUUCGGGUUGUAAAGCUCUGUUAAUCGGGACGCGGUACCGGAAUAGAAAGCCACGGCUAACUACGUGCCAGCCGCCGCGGUAAUAC